RNAcentral lists this unclassified non-coding RNA (233 nucleotides) under Hevea brasiliensis (rubber tree). Lineage: Eukaryota; Viridiplantae; Streptophyta; Magnoliopsida; Malpighiales; Euphorbiaceae. The record is from RNAcentral.
AUUGAUCGGGUUGUGAAAGAAGAAGUUAGACUCUGCCCGUUAUAGUGCUAUCUGAUCUGCAAUUGAAAUGUGAACAAAUGAUGCAUCAACCUAUCUGAACAGAUCUAUGUCUGUUGGGCAGAAAAUAUAUUUGAGAGGGAUAGCUUGCCAACCAAAAAUAAUGAAUAGUAGAGUAUAUGUUCCUGUUUAUACUUAUCAUCUUAAUGUUACAGAUGCUCUCUUCACUGGGGAAA